Molecule: long non-coding RNA, 401 nt
Organism: Sinocyclocheilus rhinocerous
Lineage: Eukaryota; Metazoa; Chordata; Actinopteri; Cypriniformes; Cyprinidae
Exons: 3
Source: RefSeq, a predicted model, not a curated record
UAGACACUGACAGCCAGAAGAACAGAAGCAGCAGGAUAAGACGGGGCAUUAUGGCAGGUCCCAUUGCCAGCUCCUCACAGGAAAGUGACAGGAGACGUCCAGCUCGAAAAGCACCUUCAUCUGUUACAGCAACAUCAGAGGAUUGCAGAGAAGCAGCAAACUGGACAAAUGGUGUCAGUACUACAAAUACAAAGUCUAUCCCAUCAGCCCCUCUUGAAUGGGAGAGCAGCAUGUUUUCAAAUUUUCAUACAGGAUUCAUAGACCGUAGUGGACAUGAGAGGACGUCAGACGUCAAACAUCGCUUAAAGAAUUCGGCACCCAGCCCAAAACUGGAUGGACUCCAUGUGUUGGAAAUGGUUUUGGGUAGUGCACCUAAAAUCUUCAACAGAUUACAUUUUGUA